GCAACGCCUGCCCAGUGAACAAUUAAACGGCCGCGGUACCCUAACCGUGCAAAGGUAGCGUAAUCAUUUGUCUACUAAUUAUAGACCUGUAUGAAAGGCAAAAUGAGGGCCUGACUGUCUCUUAUAAUAAAUCAAUUAAACUGAUCUCCUAGUAAAAAAGCUAGAAUUCCAACAUAAGACCAGAAGACCCUGUGAAGCUUAAACUAAACCAUUAAACCCAAUAAUGAUUACUUUCGGUUGGGGCGACCUUGGAAAAAAAAAGAACUUCCAAACAAUGUGACUAAUCACACCCAAUACUAGGCCUACAAGCCAAUAAACGACCCAGCACAGCUGACAAAUGAACCAAGUUACUCCAGGGAUAACAGCGCAAUCUUCUUCAAGAGCCCAUAUCAAAAAGAAGGUUUACGACCUCGAUGUUGGAUCAGGACAUCCUAAUGGUGCAGCCGCUAUUAAGGGUUCGUUUGUUCAACGAUUAAUAGUCCUACGUGAUCUGAGUUCA
Molecule: ribosomal RNA, 499 nt
Filed under: Ptyas nigromarginata
Lineage: Eukaryota; Metazoa; Chordata; Lepidosauria; Squamata; Colubridae
Description: partial 16S ribosomal RNA
Rfam family: Bacterial large subunit ribosomal RNA
Source: RNAcentral